This 71-nucleotide transfer RNA is filed under the name Bathytroctes michaelsarsi (Michael Sars smooth-head). RNAcentral describes it as "tRNA-Tyr". It matches the Rfam family "tRNA". Rfam says of the family: Transfer RNA (tRNA) molecules are approximately 80 nucleotides in length. Lineage: Eukaryota; Metazoa; Chordata; Actinopteri; Alepocephaliformes; Alepocephalidae. The record is from RNAcentral.
GGUAGGGUGGCCGAGAGUAUAGGCGGCGGGUUGUAGCCCUGAAGACAGAGGUUUAAGUCCUCUCCUUACCA